CAAAGUGUAGCUUAAAUCAAAGCAUCCAGCUUACACCCGGAAGAUCUCACCCACUAAUGAUCACUUUGA
RNAcentral lists this transfer RNA (69 nucleotides) under Alouatta seniculus (howler monkey). RNAcentral's name for it is "tRNA-Val". Lineage: Eukaryota; Metazoa; Chordata; Mammalia; Primates; Atelidae. The record is from RNAcentral. RNAcentral also lists the same sequence under 2 other names.